This 440-nucleotide ribosomal RNA is filed under the name Chryseobacterium phosphatilyticum. RNAcentral describes it as "bacterial SSU rRNA". It matches the Rfam family "Bacterial small subunit ribosomal RNA", at positions 338 to 795 of the family's 1533-position model. Lineage: Bacteria; Pseudomonadati; Bacteroidota; Flavobacteriia; Flavobacteriales; Weeksellaceae. The record is from RNAcentral.
CCUACGGGCGGCUGCAGUGGGGAAUAUUGCACAAUGGGGGAAACCCUGAUGCAGCGACGCCGCGUGAGCGAAGAAGUAUUUCGGUAUGUAAAGCUCUAUCAGCAGGGAAGAUAAUGACGGUACCUGACUAAGAAGCCCCGGCUAACUACGUGCCAGCAGCCGCGGUAAUACGUAUGGAGCAAGCGUUAUCCGGAUUUACUGGGUGUAAAGGGAGUGUAGGUGGCCAUGCAAGUCAGAAGUGAAAAUCCGGGGCUCAACCCCGGAACUGCUUUUGAAACUGUGAGGCUGGGGUGCAGGAGGGGUGAGUGGAAUUCCUAGUGUAGCGGUGAAAUGCGUAGAUAUUAGGAGGAACACCAGUGGCGAAGGCGGCUCACUGGACUGUAACUGACACUGAGGCUCGAAAGCGUGGGGAGCAAACAGGAUUAGAUACCCGUGUAGUC